RNAcentral lists this ribosomal RNA (403 nucleotides) under Verrucomicrobiota bacterium. RNAcentral describes it as "Verrucomicrobia bacterium partial 16S ribosomal RNA". It matches the Rfam family "Bacterial small subunit ribosomal RNA", at positions 355 to 776 of the family's 1533-position model. Lineage: Bacteria; Pseudomonadati; Verrucomicrobiota. The record is from RNAcentral.
UGGGGAAUAUUGCACAAUGGAGGGAACUCUGAUGCAGCGACGCCGCGUGAACGAAGAAGGCUUUCGAGUCGUAAAGUUCUUUUAUAUGGGAAGAUAAUGACGGUUCCAUAAGAAAAAGCCCCGGCUAACUACGUGCCAGCAGCCGCGGUAAUACGUAGGGGGCUAGCGUUGUCCGGAAUCACUGGGCGUAAAGGGUUCGCAGGCGGAAAUGCAAGUCAGGUGUAAAAGGCAGUAGCUUAACUACUGUAAGCAUUUGAAACUGCAUAUCUUGAGAAGAGUAGAGGUAAGUGGAAUUUUUAGUGUAGCGGUGAAAUGCGUAGAUAUUAAAAAGAAUACCGGUGGCGAAGGCGACUUACUGGGCUCAUUCUGACGCUGAGGAACGAAAGCGUGGGUAGCAAACAGG